Molecule: non-coding RNA, 2939 nt
Organism: Kogia breviceps (pygmy sperm whale)
Lineage: Eukaryota; Metazoa; Chordata; Mammalia; Artiodactyla; Physeteridae
Source: RefSeq, a predicted model, not a curated record
CAAGAUGGCUGCUCCUUGAAGACUUUGUUCUCCUAAAUGUUUGCUCCUCGCUCGUGUCAGGCUCAGAGUUAAAGACUCGGCCUUUCUCCAAACAUGUUCUUCUUCCGAGGCUGUGGUCGCUGGGUCGCGGCUUCACUCACCAAACAGCACCAUCAGUCUUUCCGGUUCAGCGGUGACAGCGCGGCGCCCUGGACUCCGCACUUCGACGUGGUAGUUAUCGGCGGAGGACAUGCGGGGACCGAAGCCGCUGCCGCCGCCGCUCGAUGCGGCUCCCGGACUCUCCUGCUCACGCACCGAGUGGACACCAUCGGUCAGAUGUCCUGUAAUCCUUCCUUUGGUGGCAUUGGAAAAGGGCAUUUAAUGAGAGAAGUUGAUGCCUUGGAUGGCCUGUGUUCUCGAAUCUGUGACCAGUCUGGUGUACAUUACAAAGUAUUAAACCGGCGCAAGGGACCAGCUGUUUGGGGUCUGAGAGCUCAAAUUGAUAGGAAACUUUAUAAACAGAACAUGCAGAAAGAAAUCCUAAAUACACCACUGCUUACUGUUCAGGAGGGAGCUGUAGAAGAUCUCAUUCUUACAGAACCAGAGCCUGAGCACACUGGAAAAUAUCGUGUCAGUGGUGUUGUUUUGGGGGAUGGAAGUACAGUGUAUGCGGAGAGUGUGGUUCUAACUACUGGGACGUUUCUGAGAGGCAUGAUUGUAAUUGGAUUGGAGAUGCAUCCAGCAGGACGUUUAGGGGAUCAGCCUUCCAUAGGGUUGGCUCAGACUCUGGAGAAGUUGGGGUUUGUGGUGGGAAGAUUGAAGACUGGGACUCCGCCCCGGAUCGCCAAAGAAUCCAUUAAUUUCAGUAUUCUAAACAAGCAGACACCAGAUAAUCCAUCCAUACCGUUCAGCUUUAUCAAUGAGACAGUGUGGAUCAAGCCAGAAGAUCAGCUGCCAUGUUACUUGACUCACACCAACCCUCAAGUGGAUGAGAUUGUCCUUGAGAACCUUCACCUUAACUGUCACGUUAAGGAAAGUACAAGAGGACCCCGAUACUGUCCCUCUAUUGAAUCAAAGGUUUUGCGUUUUCCAAACCGUUUACAUCAGGUUUGGUUGGAACCUGAAGGAAUGGAUUCUGACCUCAUCUACCCCCAAGGGUUAUCUGUGACACUACCAGCUGAAUUACAAGAGAAAAUGAUCACAUGCAUCAGAGGCUUGGAGAAAGCUAAAGUGAUUCAGCCAGGCUAUGGUGUUCAGUAUGAUUACUUGGACCCCCGUCAGAUCACUCCUUCUCUCGAGACUCAUUUGGUGCAGCGGCUCUUCUUUGCCGGACAGAUAAAUGGCACUACUGGUUAUGAGGAAGCUGCAGCUCAAGGUGUGAUAGCUGGAAUCAAUGCAAGUCUUCGGGUCAGACACAAGCCUCCUUUUGUCAUUAGCCGAACAGAAGGCUACAUAGGAGUCUUGAUUGAUGACCUCACCACGCUGGGUACCAACGAACCAUACCGCAUGUUUACCAGCCGAGCUGAGUUCCGCUUGUCACUGCGUCCUGAUAACGCCGACAGCAGGCUCACGUUCCGAGGGUACAAGGAAGCUGGUUGUGUGUCCCAACAACGAUAUGAAAGAGCUACGUGGAUGAAGUCUUCUUUAGAAGAAGGCAUUUCUGUGCUAAAAUCCAUUGAGUUUCCAAGUUCUAAGUGGAAAAACUUAAUCCCAGAGGCUUCUAUAAGUAUUGGUAAAAGUCUACCUCUCAGAGCUCUCGAUGUUCUGAAGUAUGAGGAAGUUGACACAGAGUUGUUGGCCAAGGCUGUUCCAGAGCCCUUGAAGAAGUACACCAAAUGUAGAGAGCUCGCCGAAAGACUGAAAAUAGAAGAGGGGUCUGUCACCUUGCUGUACUUUGGCUGCAUAUAUAGGAUGACCCAAGUGCCUCCUAUCAUUCUUCCACAUGACCAGACCCUAAUCAUUUGCUGAUGUGUAAGAAGUAUUUGUUAACCUUAUAUCUCAACAUCAUGACCUUUCUAUUGAGUAAAAAUUACUUUAUUGAACAUUUAGGCUGUUAGCAUCUGGCUGUUAUACUUUAAACUUGGUUUGCAGUCUUGUUUUGUCCAAUAAAUCAUCCAGAAUAAUUAUCUUUAACUUGUUUAUAGGAAACCCUGACUUGAGCCAUGGAGUAGCUACUGUUUUGCCUUGUUCUUUAAAGACUCUGGCAUAUAUAAAGACUAAUUUACAUUCAUGGCUUAAAAGAAACUACACUAAGUUAAAAAAUAAUACGUAUCAGUGGUUUGCAAAUCACUGCCUGGAUCCUCCACUAGACAAGUUUCUUCAAGAAACUGCGAGGCAGAAAUUAGUUUCAGAUUCUUUUUUAUAGUUCUCUCUCAUGUUCUGCUGUGUACAUAUUUGAAAGAUUAAAUAUAUCUUUAACAUCUACAUUACCUCUUCAUUUAUAUUCUGUGAUCCUAUAAAGUCUAUUCAUGAGUCAUAAAAUUUCAUUACAGUUUGUUGUACUAAUUUGUUAUAUAUUGUGUUAAUCACAUGCAUUAUUUCAUUUGAUACUUAAAAGUGUCCUAUGAAGGAGAGUGGUUAGCAUUAUGUCUUAAUCUUACAGAUAAGUAAGUGAUAACUUGCCCAGCCUCACACAGUUGGGGAGUGUGGCAGAGCUAGGGUUUGAACCUGGCGUGUCCGACUGUAAGGCCUGUGCACCUCGCAACGACCCUUUGUUGUCAUACAGACCAUCGCAAGUCCUCCGGGUCAUCCCUUCACAUUUCUAGAUAAAGCAGCUGAGGCCCAGAAGGAUAAUGAUGUGUCCGUAGUUAGAGGGCAGUUUAUUGGCAGAGCCAGGCUCAGAGCUGAGAUUUUCUGGCUGCCAGUCAAGUGAUGGAAGCAGAUACUGCCAGAACCUUUAGGGAAGACUUGCUUUCUUAAACAGGACAGAAUGACCACCUCAAUUUAGGUUUUUUUUUUUU